Molecule: ribosomal RNA, 748 nt
Filed under: uncultured bacterium
Lineage: Bacteria
Description: bacterial SSU rRNA
Rfam family: Bacterial small subunit ribosomal RNA
Source: RNAcentral
AGAGUUUGAUCCUGGCUCAGAACGAACGCUGGCGGAUGCUAACACAUGCAAGUCGAACGGGAUCCGAGCUUCGGUUCGGUGAGAGUGGCGAACGGGUGAGUAACGCGUGGGAACCUGCCCAGAGGUACGGAAUAACAGUUGGAAACGACUGCUAAUACCGUAUGAGCCCGAGAGGGGAAAGAUUUAUCGCCUUUGGAGGGGCCCGCGUCAGAUUAGGUAGUUGGUGGGGUAAUGGCCUACCAAGCCUACGAUCUGUAGCUGGUCUUAGAGGAUGAUCAGCCACACUGGGACUGAGAUACGGCCCAGACUCCUACGGGAAGCAGCAGUGGGGAAUAUUGGACAAUGGGGGCAACCCUGAUCCAGCAAUGCCGCGUGAGUGAUGAAGGCCUUCGGGUUGUAAAGCUCUUUUGCCAGGGACGAUGAUGACGGUACCUGGAGAAUAAGCCCCGGCUAACUUCGUGCCAGCAGCCGCGGUAAUACGAAGGGGGCUAGCGUUGUUCGGAAUUACUGGGCGUAAAGGGCGCGUAGNNGGUCUGAUAAGUUAGAUGUGAAAUUCCCGGGCUUAACCUGGGCGCUGCAUUUGAUACUGUCAGGCUUGAAUUCAGGAGAGGAUAGCGGAAUUCCCAGUGUAGAGGUGAAAUUCGUAGAUAUUGGGAAGAACACCGGUGGCGAAGGGGCUAUCUGGACUGACAUUGACGCUGAGGCGCGAAANNNNGGGGAGAAACAGGAUUAGAUACCCUAGUAGUCC